This 10819-nucleotide long non-coding RNA is filed under the name Nicotiana tabacum (common tobacco). Its description in RNAcentral is "long non-coding RNA (NTAB_LNC003439)". The record is from RNAcentral. Lineage: Eukaryota; Viridiplantae; Streptophyta; Magnoliopsida; Solanales; Solanaceae.
AGUUUUCAAGGUCAAAACAAUAAUUUUAUAUGACGGGCCACAAGCAACCGAUUCAAUCCGAAGAUAUAAAAUUUCGUUAAUACUACGUGAUAGAGAAGUGAAAAAUAAAUUCAAUGACAGAUAAUAUAAUAAAAAUAAAGCAGAGAAGAAAGAAUUCUUAUUGAAUGAUCCUUGAUAGGAUAAUGUGCCGAACAGAGCUUGAAGGGCCGAACUAUGGCUAACUUGAGAGCAAUAUGCUAUAAAUUACAAUGAAGAGAAUUGUAGAGAAGAAAAUUAGCCUCCCCUGAUGGUGGUAAAAGUAUGUCUAUUUAUAGCGCUAAAUCUAAGUAACUAGUCUCCUUGAAUUAUGGGUCCAUUAUGAGCAUUUACUCAAUCCAUCCAUUACUUUUGGAAGACUUGUAACAGCUGUGUAAAUGUUGGAAUUCCGUAACUGAUGAGUUAAUUUCAUAAUUGAUGAGUUAAUUCCGCAAUUAAUCAGUCAAUCUCGUGUCAGUUGAGUCAAUCUCGUGCCUGUUGAGUCAAUCUCGUGCCUGUUGAGUCAAUCUCGUAGUUGAUUGCCUUGUUCUGACCGUUACAAUAAUUUAUUGUAUUUAUUAAUAAUUGAUUUGUAACUGAUGGUGUAAUGAUGAUAAAUCUCAUAUAAUCCGGGAUUAAUUUAUUCCUUCCUCAUUUGUAAUUAUAAGAUAUUCUCUCGCACCUGAUCUGGGCUAUUUCAUGAUGAUCAAUUCCGAGGCUAACAGGCACGGUAUGAGUAUGUUCGAUCCUAGGGGUGUUUCACAUAUCAUCUUUACAUGUCAUUCUUCACUUUUCUUCAAACUUUACUGACACGUGUCGCCAUUAAAUAGACCCACAUGGCGAGUCUUACUUUUACUAAUACAGCGGUAUCAUCAACGUCGGCACCAAACAACUGAGAAAAUUUCUAGUGGGGUUGGCCGAAGGAACGAUUCCCAGAGAACAACUUUAUUUUUCUAUAAAUUUGAUUUCAGAUAUUUGAGAAAUGUUUGUAUUGUAUUUGGGUGUUAUCUAAGAGAUGUGGUCAAAGAUAGAUAGAGAUGGUGCAGUAUUUUAGGCCAUAAGGUCCCUCUUUUAUAGUAAAAUAUGAUGAUGAUCGUGUUCUGAUUUUUGUGGUGGUGAUUGCCGAUUUUAGCCAUCUACGAUGAAGGUUAUAAUGGUCUUAAAUUUAAGGUGAUUUGUAAUGGUCAAGAUUGAAAAUAAAGGUGAUUGUGGUAGAAUGUUUUCUUAAAAUCCUUUUCGAUGUUCAGGAGGAUGAUGGAGCGGUUUUGAUCUGAUGGAGUUGUGGUGGAUUUUUAAAGGGUAAGGUUGGAGAGGAGAAGUUUGAUGAACAGAAAUGUGGGUCGGCGGGGAAAGAGCAAAAAUUGAGAAAAGGGGAAAAAGGAGGAUUAGGGGAAAGAAAGGUUUGGGCAGGGAGUAGAUUUUUCCCUUUUUCUUCUUUAGAAGCUCUUUUUUCUUUCAUUUUUUAAUCUUUUCUUUUGUAAUUGAUGUUUUCUUUUCUUAUUUUUUUUAGUAUUUUUUCAACCAAAAUGCUAUUGUAGCGCGCUUUAUUAUCGCAAUUCUCACGCACUUUGGCCACAUCAACUUAUUGUUGCCACAUAAGCACAGUCAAUAGUCAAACGUGUUUAUUUGUAUCCAGUUCAUCAAGUUAAGGUGUUAAAAUAAGAAAGAUAUAAGUUUGUCUAUUGGAUUGGCAAACUGAUACAAGUUUAAAUGUCCAUGAAGCUAUUUUACCAAUAAAUUAUGCCAUCAUAGUAAAAUUGGGAGCACUAACUUUAAAUAGGUUUUAAAUAUAAAAAGUGUCAUUUUUUCUUGAUCACAUAAAAAAUAUAGUAUCACAUAAAAUUGGCAAAAGGAGGAGGUGGAAAGAGCUUGAGAUUCAGAACCAUACUUGUUACGCUAAAUGUGAAUUUAGUAUCCAGCAACAACAAUUGCUAUUUCUUUCUUUUAAACAAGUUAAAGACAAUACAACAACAACAACCCAGUAAAAUCUCACAAGUGGGGUCUGGGGAAGGUAGUAUGUAUGCAGACCUUACCCCUACCCUGAAGGAAUAGAGAGGUUGUUUUCGGAAGACCCUCGGCUCAAGAUAAUAAGAAAAACAAAAAGGGAAGAAUAUUAGUUUCACCACAGAGAUCAUAUGAAAAAUAGAAACAAAAAAUGCAAAACAAAAAUGAUAGCUAGUAAAUAGGUCCUGCACCGAAAAGCGAAAAUAGUAAGACACGGCAAUGCCCCUAGCUAUUCCAGACAAAAACCCUACCAGACUAGGCUCACAACAGAACAAGGUAACGCAAGACUCAGUUAUCUCCUAGCCUACAACCGUAAUACUCGACCUCCAUAACUUCCUAUCAAGUAUCAUGUCCUCAGAAAUCUGAAGCCUCGCCAUAUCUUGCCUGAUCACUUCUCCCCAAUACUUCUUAGGCCGCCCUCUACCUCGUCUCGUGCCCUCCACAACCAGUCGCUCACACCUCCUUACUGGAGCAUCUGGGCUUCUCCUUUGUACAUGUCCGAACCAUCUAAGUCUCGCUUCCCGCAUCUUGUCAUCAAUGGGAGCCACAUGCACCUUCUCCCGAAUAUCCUCAUUUCUAAUCUUGUCCAUCCUAGUGUGUCCGCACAUCCACAUAAACAUCCUCAUUUCUGCUACUUUCAUCUUUUGGAUAUGUGAGUUCUUAACUGGCCAACACUCAUCCCCAUACAUCAUGGCCGGUCUAACCACCGCUUUAUAGAACUUACCUUUUAGUAUCGUUGGCACUCUCUUGUCACACAAAACUCCGGAUGCUAACCUCCACUUCAUCCACCCUACCCCAAUAUGGUGUGCGACAUCCUCAUCAAUCUCCCCUCUCCCGUGGAUAACCGAACUAAGGUACUUGAAGCUGCCUCUACUUGGGAUAACCUGUGAUUCAAGCCUCACAUCCAUGCCCACUUCCCCUGGCUCAGUGUUGAACUUACACUCCAGGUAUUCCGUCUUCGUUCUGCUCAGCUUGAAACCUUUAGACUCAAGAGUCUGUCUCCAAACUUCUAGUCUCUCGUUAACACCGGUUCGUGACUCAUCAAUCAGAACUAUGUCAUCGGCAAAUAGCAUGUACCAUGGCACUUCCCCUUGAAUAUGGUUUGUUAAUGCAUCCAUCACCAGGGCAAAUAAGAACGGACUGAGCGUAGAGCCUUGGUGUAACCCCAUUUCAACCAGAAAAUGCUCUAAGUCACCUCAUACUAUCCUAACCCGAGUCUUAGCCCCAUCAUACAUGUCCCUGAUCGCCUUAAUAUAGGGAACUGACACACCUUUAGUCUCCAAGCAUCUCCAGAAAACUUCUCUAGGAACCUUGUCAUACGCUUUCUCUAGAUGCAGAUCCUUUUUUCUCUCUCUGUACAGUUCCACCAACCUCCUAAUAAGGUGUAUAGCUUCUGUGAUAGAACGACCCGGCAUAAACUCGAACUGGUUGUCGGAUACAGACACUGUCAUCCUCACCCUUGCUUCAAUGACCCUCUCCCAUACUUUCAUGGUAUGACUCAGUAAUUUAAUACCACUAUAAUUGUUACAACUUUGGAUAUCACCUUUGUUCUUAUACAAUGGAACCACCGUACUCCACCUCCACUCAUCCAAUAUCCUCUUCGCCUUAAAAAUAACAUUAAACAACCCAGUCAACCACUCCAAGCCUGCUCUCCCUACACACUUCCAGAAUUCCACUGGGAUCUAGUCUGGCCUGGUAGGUCUGCCCCUACUCAUCUUACGCAUAGCCCCCACAACCUCCUCAACCUCGAUACGCCUGUAGUGCCCGAAGUCAUGGUGACUCUCAGAAUGCUCCAAUUCGCCUAGUACAAUAUCCUGAUCCUCAUUUUCAUUCAGAAGUUUAUGGAAGUAAGCCUGCCAUAUCCUUUUAAUCUGGGCAUCUUCCAUCAGUAUCCUACCAUCUUCGUCCUUGAUGCAUCUCACUUGGUCCAAAUCCCGAGCCUUCCUCUCUCUCAACUUGGCUAGCCGAAAUAACUUUUUCUCCCUGCCUUUUCCCCCUAGUUCCUCAUACAUCCGACCAUAAGCCGCAGUCUUAGCCUCCGUGACUGAUAGUUUAGCUUCCUUCCUAGCUAACUUAUAUCUUUCCAUGCACGCCCGCCUCUCCUCCUCACCUAUGCUCCCCACUAACUUCAUGUAUGUUGCCUUCUUCGCUUCCACUUAACCUUGGACCACUUCAUUCCACCACCAGAUUCCUUUAUGACCACUAGAGACACCGGUCGAGACCCCUAAUACCUCUCGCGCAGAUGCCCUUAUGCAGUCUGUUGUUGCUCACCAUAUAGUGUUUGCGUCCCCACUGCUCCUCCAAGCACCCAUAGCCGAUAGCCGCCACUCCAACUCUUGGGCUUUAUCCUUAGUAAAGGCUCCCCACCUGAUUCUCGGUGGUCCCCGAGCAGUCCGUUUCCUCCUCUUUAACCUAAUACCAACGUCUAGCACCAAGAGUCUAUGUUGUGUCGCGAGUGACUCACUUAGAAUUACACAACCCGCUGUCACACCUCCAGAGAUAGUCAAUCUGAGUCUUCGUUACCGCAUUAUGAAAAGUAACCAAAUGCUCAUUCCUCUUCAGAAAUCUAGAGUUCGCAAUCACCAACCCGAAAGACUUAGCGAAGUCCAACAGCAUGGUACCUCCUCCGUUCCUCUCCCCAAAACCAAAGCCUCUAUGCACCUCGCCAUAACCACCUGCGGUUGCCCCAAUAUGACCAUUGAAAUCCCCUCCUAUGAAUAGCUUCUCAGUAGGCGGAACCUGGUGCACAAUCUCAUCUAUGCCCUCCCAGAAGUGUCAUUUAACCUCCUCAUCUAGGACCACAUGUAGCGUAUAGACGCUAAUGACGUUUAGGGUGUACUCACCGACCACCAACUUAAUAACCAUCAACCUAUCAUUCACUCGUCUAACUUCGAGCACAGACCCUCUAAGUUCCUUAUCCACCAAGAUACCCACUCCAUUCUUACCUCUCUCGACCCCUGAGUACCAAAGUUUAUACCCGUUCACAUCUUUCGCACUCGACCCUACCCACCUUGUCUCCUGGACACAUGCUAUAUUGACCCUCCUCUUCCGGAGAAUUUUCGCCAACUCUAUAGACUUAAAUGUACCUAUGUUCCAUGACCCGAUUCUUAACCUAUAGGCACCCUUGUUCCCUUUACCUCCCUUGCCUCCCGACCCACCCCCUGACCCCUGCCCUACCUCCUGCCCUACCCCCCGCUCCCCCCGAGGACAUGACCUCACUCGACCAUCCUAGACCACAACCAUUAUACCUACGACAGACUAAGAGGAAUCACUAACACACACAAGGCAACAGACCAAGUUAGACAAAGACACUAUAUAACUAUAAGCGCACUAAUACGAUGAAUAAACAAAUAGGAACAAAGAUUGCAAUAAUUUAACUAACACAAUAAAAGAAAAUGAAUAAGGGGAGGUACCAACUCCCAUGAGUAGAACCUGGAGAUUGUCUUGGUAUAUACGACGAUGUUGCGUCCACCUAGCACGUUCGCGUCCAACUCCUCCGACCCUUGUUGACCCUUAUCGGGGUUGUUCUUUUUGUCCGCACACACACGUCUCGCUCGCAGCCAAUAGCCACAGUCCCUAACCUGGACUUUCGACUUGGUGUAUUCCGUAUGUUGAGAGACCCGACGCACUGCCCUUGUUCCUGCCAGCUGGAAUGCUCCACUAAUUUUGCGCGUGCACUUCGCUCCCACCACCAAGCGGCCACAAAAAUGCUACCUGUAACACACAAAACACACCACGAGACCAAGAAAAAUAAAAGAAUACAGGCUGCCACCGUCACCUCUGAUGAACAACAAUCUGGUGUUGGUCCAAUUGGUCGCCGGAUCGGUCUGACGUCGCCAGAGAACACCGGCGCUACAGAGACACAGCGGGCAGAGGAAGAAGAAGAAAAGAAGAAAGAAGGAGAAAAGAGGAACAGGGGAGGGGGUUGGGCUGCAACCAGACUAAAUAGAAGAAGAAAGAAGAGAUGGCGCCGGCGCACAAGUCACGGGAAAAAAAUGGUUGCUUCUAGGGUUAAGAGGUAGGAGAAAAAGUAAAAGUAAAAAAAAAACGAGAAGAGAGAAGGGAGGAGAGAGAGACUAGGGGAAGAAAUACAUGACAUUUGUCCUAAGUUAUUUAUCACUAAACUAUGGAUGAUAUGCAUUUACUCUUUAAUUUGUGACUCUUAUGGUUAAAUUAUUUGAUUUGAUAUAAAUAUUGGGUGCGGGUAAGUAUUAUUUUCGACGUGAUUAGAAGAUUAUAUCCCAUUAGAGUUAAAAUGACUAAAUAAGUAAGUUAAUUUUGGUAAUAGGAAAGGCUUAAUACAUACAUACUUCAUCCUUCUAAUAACUUGUAAUCGAAAUUCUUUUGACACACAUCAAUUUCACGCUAAAAUAUAUUUACACCAAUUUUUUUUGAAACAUGUCUAAUACAUACCAUUUGAGUUUAACUAACUUUGACAUGGUCAGAUUACACUUUUACAUGCAACAGUAAUAUUUAAAUAUUUGAAAAGUAAAAAUACUUGAAAUCUAGCCUGUAAUAGGCUGCAAAAGUCACCAUGUAAAAAAAGUUUACGCUGAUGGCGGAUAUUAGCUCUACAAAUUGAGAGCGUACUUGUAACAGGCCGUUUUACCCAAAAAAAAAAAAGAAUAAAUUAAAAACUUGUGUCUAAAGCCUUAUGUACGCCACAUAUCCAAAUUAUUGUCCAAAUUAAUUCUAUCUAUUUUCGUUUUUGAAAAAUACAUCAUCUUCGUCCUUUUAAAAAGUUACCACCAUAUCACCAGUCCCUUCUAUUUGGUUAUUUUUAUUUCGCAGUUCCAUAAAUUGAAAUAUCAAUAGUAAAAUAAGGUUUUCCCCCUUUUAAACACAAAUAAAAUUUUGAACCGAAAUAAGAAAGCAAUCUUGGUGCUGUUCAGCAUGAUCAGGUAAUCGUUUUCCUUUUAUUUUUGAUUCUAAGCUGUUAUUGCGCGCUAAUUCUCAUGCCCAGAUGUUGGACUGCAGUGUAAUGGCGGAGAUGAUGGCAGCCUUGGCGCGAAGAUGAUGGAUUAUUAUUGUAAAAUUCUAGUAUUUUUCUUUUUCUAAGUUAAUGAUGUAUCACGAUAUUAUUGGUGUGUGAAAUACACUUAUUGCAGAAAAAACUCUGAAGAAUUGUAUAAAAGGUGGGGUUGAAAAAAGAUUUAGUGUAUAAUUUUUUUUUUCUCGUAAAAUGAAAUGAGUCAAAGAGAUUUUGAUACAAGUUAGGAGGUUAAACUAUGUAUUAAUUCACUCAAAAUAAUAGUUAAAUGAGUUUUUCCAUUAGGAAUAUAGAUGGUUCCUUUUUAUAAAAAAUUAUUGUAUAUAGGCGGAGAGAAAGAAAAAAUAAAAAAGGAAAUUACAAAAUGAAAAUCCAAAUUCUCGCUAGUAUAUGAAAAUUUAACUAAGGACCACUAAGAUUCUCGGAUGACUGCAUCUAAAGGUGUGGCCUACUGGUCAAUAAAAUGGGUUAAAAUUAUAAAAUUUUUAAAUUUUAUUUUCAACAGAGACAAAAAAUACUAAGUGAUACUUCCUAUAUAUCUAAGUUUUAGUGGAUAAAAUUACUGAAUACUUAUUGUUGAUUGAAGGUAACAAGUAUCCUGUGAAAAUAAUCGAACUACAUAUAUGAACUUGCUCGGACACCAUGGUUAUAAGAAAGAACAAAAAUUCACGGAUGAUUGCUUUCAAAUAACAAGAACACUUUGCCAAAAAAAAAAAAAAAGUUAAUAACAAGAACACACUUUCAUUUCAAAAGACAGAGUGGGUGGCUACUGCCUUUCUUUUCGGACAUCCCUCGUGGCCUCGUCAUCCAAUUUUCGACAAAUAUCGUUAUAUUCUAUAAUUGAGGACGCGCAAAAUCGUUUCAUAUUUUAUGAAGAAAAUCUGCAUAAUUCACCACUAAAAUAGACCAUUUCAAAGAACUUAGCCCAUGUCACUUGGUCUAAUAGCCCAAUCCAAAAUGGCUCACAUUUGAAGCUCUUACCCUAUUUAGCCCAUGUUUUACAUAAUUUGAAAGAAAUUUUUCAGCCUUUAGCCCACUGUUAAAGACAUAGUUUUAGAGUUUUUAUUAUUUUCUUCUUUCUUUAUUCCCUUCUCUCUCUCACCGCCUCUCACUUCUUUCUUUCUAACCCACAUAGAUCUCUCAUCCUCUCUUAAAAUUAGUCAUUAGCAAUGUAUUAUGCUUCUCUUACAAACACAACAUCUGCUACAUAUCUGCCUCCCCUUUUCCGCAAAUUAUCUUAGUCAAUAGCUGAAGCAACUUCAAUUUGUGAGGAGCACAACAGCUUUAUCCCCCCUCCUCUACCCCCCACGCAGUUUUGUUAUUAAUGGCUUAAGAAGGCUCGGGCUCCUACUCCGUCGUCCAUGGUGGCAAGCAAAAGAAUAUUGAAGAUUUUGGAUAGAAACAUGAAAAUACACACAGAUAUGAAAAUAAAUAGCUCUCAAACUUGAUUUGCACCAAAAAAUAACCACUAAUGUUGGAAGAUUUUGAAGUUUGAAGUUCUGGUCAUUAUUAUUAUGGCCUUGAAGUCUCGAAUCUGAAAUUGGGUUUGUAUAAAAAUUAUAACUAUGUAGCAGUUUGUAUCAACAUUGUAUACUAGUGUAUAAUUGUGUAUAUGGAUAUACAAACACCUCUUAUACACUAUUAUACAUGUUUAUACAAACUUAUACAGUAUUGUAUAAUUGUGUAUAAAUGUGUAUAUUUGUGUAUAAUAUUGUAUAAUUAUAUAUUUUUCAGUUUAUAAGGAUGUAUAUACAUUGUUAGUGUGUAAGAGGCUUCUACAGAAGUUUGACACUUCUUUCUCAUCUUCUUUUUCGUGUAAUGUGUUGUAUGAGCGUUGGAGGAAUUCUACAAUUCAUUUACCAAGUUUUUAUUUUUCUUUUAUCCUGUUGGAUUGCUUCGGCAAUUGCACAUAAAAGUGUUUGAAUUUCUUACCUUCAGAUAAUAUGUAUUAUUCAGGAUUUUUGAGUUGUGUUAUGGCUGAUUUGCAUUUUUUUUUUAUCAAAUGCUUAAUAAUCAAAGGAAAUCAACAGAAUGAAAACAACUGGUUAUAUAUAAGAGGGAGCAAAAUAAGCUUUCUUUCGGGAAUUAGCCUAUUAAUUUUUGGGCUAUAGAUUUGCAAAGUGGUAUCUAGGCUGUUAUGUUGCAAGUCAGGUGUGUGAGUUGUAUUUAUGCGAAAUUAUCCCUUUCUUUUUUCUUUUUCCUCCCAUUUAAUUCAUUGACAAAUACAUUAAUUUGGUUCUUGAUCCUUCAAUCACUUUCGAGACCCAAAUUCCAUUCAGAAAAAUUACACUUCCGAUCCCCUAGUUAUUAAAAAAUAAGCAUUUCUACUCUUGAAUUAAUAACAAAUCUGUGCUUUGAUCCUUUUACAUGAUAAUAUUUUAUUUAAAUUAUUUUUAUGACUAUAUUACCUUCAGAUAUAGUAACAACUAACAAUACAAAUUUAACAUAAUACAUGAGUAAUUAAAUAGUUUAACCAUUACUGACUGUUAAAUUUGUAAAAAUUCGUAAUCAAAAGGAUCAAAAGUAUAUAUUUCUAUUAAUUAAAGAAAAUAUAAACUUAACCAAAUAUUUCAAGAACUAGAAUUAAAAUUUUAUUAUUAUCUCAUAUAUUGAAAGAUCAAACAUUCACAAAAGAAUUUGUUUGUGAAAAAAAAAAAAUGUUUCUUAUACAUCUUUGUAUAUUAAAUCACAAACAAAAAAAACCUACCUUAAUCAUCAAAAGAAUAGUCUCCCUUACUAAAAUUCAAAGAGCACACUUCAAUGAAAUAUGGACCUAUGUUGCUCGCACUCUUCAAAAAUGCCGUUGGGUGUGGGUCUGAUCCUUUAAAAGUUGUGUAUUUUUAGAGGAUUCGACACGAACGCAACAGUAUUUUUGGAGAGCCCGAGCAACAUAGAUAUGAACUACUCAUCAAAAUCUUCAUCUUGAACAAACUGAUUCUUCAACUAUAGUUUCAAGCAAUGGUUUCUUUGACCUACAUAUUAACAACAUGUGCUUGAAUUCUGGCGUUGAGAACUCUUCAAUAUCUUCCAAUUUCAACUUUGGCAAAGCAAUUUUAUCAUAUUUUGGCUUAGGCUCCUCUAUAUCCACAGCAAAUUCUGUGCAUUCUGGCAAUAUUUUGCCUCUUUUAAAAGACACCCUUUUGGCUACAGAAUUAGCAGUGAGGAAUAAUGCACCCAAAUCAGCUGCUGAAACUAAUGAAUUCAAUCUUUUCAUAGGAAACAUGACAUAAACAUUGGCCAUUUCAAGAUCCUCAUCAGCAUUUAGGGCAGAAAAUCUCCUACCAAUAUGUAGAGACUUUGAAUUUACAAGAAAGAAAUUAGGUUUUUCUAGCAUGAGUUCUGCUGCUUUAAUUUGGUGAUGUAUGUUUUGGAUUUCACCAUUUGGAAAAAUGACCUUUACUAGUCUUGAUUGUUUGUUGCCUACUUGUGCUAAUAAUGUGCAAGAUAUGUAGUUGCCCAUUUCAAGUUGGACAAAACUCUUUCUUGAAAACUAGAAAGAGUAUAAAGAUGCAAAUAAUAUGAGGAAGAAGAAGAAGAGAAUAUGAUUAUUGGGAUUGAGAAAUGUAGUAGUUUCCUCCUGUAUACUAAUGAAUGGAAUGUUCAGGCGCGAAGUUAUGUGUAGUCAAGGAUUGUCAACUGAACACCCCUUACCAAAAAACUGUAUUGUAUAUAAGGUACGUAAAAUAUAACUUGCUCUUGAUCAAAAAAUAUUAUUUGAACACCUUUACAUAGCCCACUCUUGAAAACUAUAAAAAAUAUAAAGAUGCAAAUAAUACGAGGAAGAAGGAGAGAAUAUGGUUUUUGGGAUUG